UAGGGAAUCUUCGGCAAUGGACGAAAGUCUGACCGAGCAACGCCGCGUGAGUGAAGAAGGUUUUCGGAUCGUAAAACUCUGUUGUUAGAGAAGAACAAGGACGUUAGUAACUGAACGUCCCCUGACGGUAUCUAACCAGAAAGCCACGGCUAACUACGUGCCAGCAGCCUCGGUAAUACGUAGGUGGCAAGCGUUGUCCGGAUUUAUUGGGCGUAAAGCGAGCGCAGGCGGUUUCUUAAGUCUGAUGUGAAAGCCCCCGGCUCAACCGGGGAGGGUCAUUGGGAACUGGGAGACUUGAGUGCAGAAGAGGAGAGUGGAAUUCCAUGUGUAGCGGUGAAAUGCGUAGAUAUAUGGGGGAACACCAGUGGCGAAGGCGGCUCUCUGGUCUGUAACUGACGCUGAGGCUCGAAAGCGUGGGGGGCAAACAGG
RNAcentral lists this ribosomal RNA (429 nucleotides) under Chloroflexota bacterium. RNAcentral describes it as "Chloroflexi bacterium partial 16S ribosomal RNA". It matches the Rfam family "Bacterial small subunit ribosomal RNA", at positions 355 to 776 of the family's 1533-position model. The record is from RNAcentral. Lineage: Bacteria; Bacillati; Chloroflexota.